ACAAGGUUUUUGAAAUAUUGUGCAUUCUCAGCAUCUUUGAUCAUGUGAUUCAUUCCUUUUGCUUUGUUUUUUGCGAAAAAGCCAUUGAUUGCUGAGAUGGAGUAUGGUGUCAGAGUCAAGGGAUAGGUCAUUAGGUCAGAGAUGCUAAUUUGUGACUUAAGUUCUUGUGAUUUGAUGAAGAUCUGAAAGAUAAACCCACUUGUGGCCUUGUACUGGAUCACUUUC
This is a long non-coding RNA of Sander lucioperca (pikeperch), 225 nucleotides long. RefSeq lists it as uncharacterized. NCBI's taxonomy places the organism in Eukaryota, Metazoa, Chordata, Actinopteri, Perciformes, Percidae. The record is from RefSeq and is a predicted model, not a curated record. The transcript is spliced from 3 exons.